UAGAUAGAGGCGCGGCCGACAAAAGUAAUCCUCACCAGGGGCACAGGAGCCCGGGGACGAAAGGGGAGGCCGCCGAAGGGCUGUACAUCCUGAGUGUGCAGUUCCUGGGUCGACGGAGAAUAUCCGGCGGACUGUCGUGAAAACGGAGAGCUAUCA
RNAcentral lists this non-coding RNA (156 nucleotides) under pig gut metagenome. RNAcentral describes it as "Lysine riboswitch". It matches the Rfam family "Lysine riboswitch aptamer". Rfam says of the family: Riboswitches are metabolite binding domains within certain messenger RNAs that serve as precision sensors for their corresponding targets. The record is from RNAcentral.